AGAGUUUGAUCCUGGCUCAGAGCGAACGCUGGCGGCAGGCCUAACACAUGCAAGUCGAGCGGUCGUAGCAAUACGGCAGCGGCAGACGGGAGAGUAACACGUGGGAACGUGCCCUUUGGUUCGGAACAACACAGGGAAACUUGUGCUAAUACCGGAUAAGCCCUUACGGGGAAAGAUUUAUCGCCAAAGGAUCGGCCCGCGUCUGAUUAGCUAGUUGGUGGGGUAACGGCCCACCAAGGCGACGAUCAGUAGCUGGUCUGAGAAGAUGAUCAGCCUCACUGGGACUGAGACACGGCCCAGACUCCUACGGGAGGCAGCAGUGGGGAAUAUUGGACAAUGGGCGCAAGCCUGAUCCAGCCAUGCCGCGUGGAUGAUGAAGGCCCUAGGGUUGUAAAGUCCUUUCGGCGGGGAAGAUAAUGACGNACCCGCAGAAG
RNAcentral lists this ribosomal RNA (434 nucleotides) under uncultured bacterium. RNAcentral describes it as "bacterial SSU rRNA". It matches the Rfam family "Bacterial small subunit ribosomal RNA", at positions 8 to 487 of the family's 1533-position model. The record is from RNAcentral.